GUGAAAUCGAUAUAAUGGAAGCGAAUGAAGUCGGCGUAUCUAGUGCGUAUUCAGUUGUUGCAUGAUAUGAUUGCUUUUUUGUGUUUUCCGCAAGGUAAUACGAUUGAGUUUUUUUGUGUUGUGUAGCGAUGCAUUUGCGUACAGAGUGCGACGAGUCAGUUGGUGUCGUCGGUAGAAGUUGUUCAAGAGGACGGUUUUCGAACCGAAACCUUGUUCGAUGAAUGCCUGAUUGAUGCUGUCUGGUUCAGCAGUGAAGUGCAGGACGAGUCGGUUUUGGCUUUAUUCUUUUGUUGGUUUUGUGUUGAACGCGUGCGUUUCUCGCUUAACUGGCUUAAGUGUGUGGUCGGAAUCACUGUGCUUUAUUCGUCGUAUAGUCGGUCACUCAUUCGACCCGUCUUGAAACACGGACCAAGGAGUUUACGGUACACGCGAGACAAUGAGUCUGACAAACUCAUAGUCAUAAUGAAAGUGAAACUGUUGAACGGUUUGAACACGAUCGGUGAUUGGAUUCGUCUGAUUGCUGCGUAGUGUUGCCCCAUUCCUGGAACUUGUUCUGGUGUGGAGGCUGAGCGUGUGCGGUGAGACCCGAAAGAUGGUGAACUAUGCCUGAACAGGAUGAAGCCAGAGGAAACUCUGGGUGGAAGUCCGAAGCGGUUCUGACGUGCAAAUCGAUCGUCUGAUUUUGGUAUAGGGGCGAAAGACUAAUCGAACC
RNAcentral lists this ribosomal RNA (712 nucleotides) under Ektaphelenchus berbericus. RNAcentral's name for it is "eukaryotic LSU rRNA". It matches the Rfam family "Eukaryotic large subunit ribosomal RNA", at positions 399 to 941 of the family's 3401-position model. Lineage: Eukaryota; Metazoa; Nematoda; Chromadorea; Rhabditida; Aphelenchoididae. The record is from RNAcentral.